GUGUUGUAGUAGAGUAGAGAAGGUUAACAACAUAUCCCUUGACAAGGUUGGAAGAGACUGCUGAACUUUACCUCAUACCUAGAGGCAUUUCUACUUACCUUGUGGUAUCUAACUACUGUUUUUG
Grammomys surdaster is the source of this 124-nucleotide small nuclear RNA. The record is from RefSeq and is a predicted model, not a curated record. Lineage: Eukaryota; Metazoa; Chordata; Mammalia; Rodentia; Muridae.